RNAcentral lists this non-coding RNA (32 nucleotides) under Homo sapiens (human). The record is from RNAcentral. Lineage: Eukaryota; Metazoa; Chordata; Mammalia; Primates; Hominidae.
AGGACAGAUGAGCAGCCUCAGAGACGGUGUUC